UAAGCCUUUGCCACUCAGACAUGUUCCUGA
RNAcentral lists this non-coding RNA (30 nucleotides) under Mus musculus (house mouse). Lineage: Eukaryota; Metazoa; Chordata; Mammalia; Rodentia; Muridae. The record is from RNAcentral.